GGAAACAGCUCUGCCGCGAGAAAGACUUUA
This 30-nucleotide non-coding RNA is filed under the name Mus musculus (house mouse). The record is from RNAcentral. Lineage: Eukaryota; Metazoa; Chordata; Mammalia; Rodentia; Muridae.